UACGGAGGGGGCUAGCGUUGUUCGGAAUUACUGGGCGUAAAGCGCACGUAGGCGGCUUUGCAAGUCAGAGGUGAAAGCCCGGGGCUCAACCCCGGAAUUGCCUUUGAGACUGCAUCGCUAGAAUUGUAGAGAGGUAAGUGGAAUUCCGAGUGUAGAGGUGAAAUUCGUAGAUAUUCGGAAGAACACCAGUGGCGAAGGCGACUUCCUGGCCUGUUCUUGACGCUGAGGCGCGAAAGCUAGGGGAGCAAACGGG
Molecule: ribosomal RNA, 253 nt
Filed under: uncultured bacterium
Lineage: Bacteria
Description: partial 16S ribosomal RNA
Rfam family: Bacterial small subunit ribosomal RNA
Source: RNAcentral